GACUGGGUCCUGCGCGGCAGGGCGUCCGAACCGUGUCAGGGCCGGAAGGCAGCAGCACUAAGGGC
This 65-nucleotide signal recognition particle RNA is filed under the name Anaerolineae bacterium. Its description in RNAcentral is "partial signal recognition particle sRNA small type". It matches the Rfam family "Bacterial small signal recognition particle RNA", at positions 1 to 65 of the family's 97-position model. From Rfam's summary of the family: The signal recognition particle (SRP) is a universally conserved ribonucleoprotein involved in the co-translational targeting of proteins to membranes. Archaeal SRP consists of a 7S RNA and homologues of the eukaryotic SRP19 and SRP54 proteins. Lineage: Bacteria; Bacillati; Chloroflexota; Anaerolineae. The record is from RNAcentral.